RNAcentral lists this ribosomal RNA (881 nucleotides) under uncultured bacterium. RNAcentral's name for it is "bacterial SSU rRNA". It matches the Rfam family "Bacterial small subunit ribosomal RNA", at positions 11 to 915 of the family's 1533-position model. The record is from RNAcentral.
GUUUGAUCAUGGCUCAGGAUGAACGCNGGCGGCGNGUNUANGGCAUGCAAGUCGAAUGCUAGUUUACUAGCAUGNCAAACGGGAGAGUAACACAUUGGCAAUCUGCCNNAAGACGAGGAUAACNUUGCGAAAGCGAGAAUAAUACUCGAUAGUAUUAAAGGACAUAAGUUCUUUAAUUAAAGNUCCGGCGCUUAGGGAGGAGCNUAUGGCCUAUCAGCUUGUUGGUGAGAUAAUAGCUCACCAAGGCUACGACGGGUAUGGGGUGCGAGAGCAUGACCCCACUCACUGGGACUGAGACACUGCCCAGACUCCUACGGGAGGCUGCAGUCAAGAAUCUUCCUCAAUGGACGAAAGUCUGAAGGAGCGACGCCGCGUGCAUGAAGAAGCCCCUCGGGGUGUAAAGUGCUUUUAUCAGGGAAGAACAUAUGACGGUACCUGAUGAAUAAGGGGCUGCUAACCUCGUGCCAGCAGCAGCGGUAAUACGAGGGCCCCAAGCGUUAUCCGGAUUUAUUGGGCGUAAAGCGUCCGUCGGUUGUUUAUCGCAUCUCCUGUUAAAUCUCGAGGCCCAACCUCGAGCCAGCGGGAGAGAUGGAUAAACUAGAGGCCGGAAGAGGCAAGCGGAAUUGCUGGUGUAGGGGUUAAAUCCAUUAAUAUCAGCAGGAACACCAAAUGCGUAGGCAGCUUGCUAGAACGGUCCUGACACUCAGAGGACGAAAGCGUGGGGAGCGAAUGGGAUUAGAUACCCCAGUAGUCCACGCCGUAAACGAUGGAUACUAAGCAUUGGAAGUAUCGACCCUUUCAGUGUUGUUAAUUUAAGGUAACCCGUUAAGUAUCCCGCCUGGGGAGUACGAGCGCAAGCUUAAAACUCAAAGGAAUUGACG